GGGGGGGGGGGGCGGCGGGCGGAACACGUGCGGGGCGAGCGGGGGGGCGCAGCGUUGGGUGGGUGGAUGAGUGGCGAACGGGUGAGUAACACGGGAGUAACCGGCCUCCUUCUUUGGGAUAACGCCCGGAAACGGGUGCUAAUACUGGAUAUUCACUGGUCUUCGCAUGGGGGCUGGUGGAAAGGGUUUUUCUGGUGGGGGAUGGGCUCGCGGCCUAUCAGCUUGUUGGUGGGGUGAUGGCCUACCAAGGCUUUGACGGGUAGCCGGCCUGAGAGGGUGACCGGUCACAUUGGGACUGAGAUACGGCCCAGACUCCUACGGGAGGCAGCAGUGGGGAAUAUUGCACAAUGGGCGCAAGCCUGAUGCAGCGACGCCGCGUGAGGGAUGGAGGCCUUCGGGUUGUGAACCUCUUUCGCUCAUGGUCAAGCCGCAACAAUGGUUGUGGUGAGGGUAGUGGGUAAAGAAGCGCCGGCUAACUACGUG
RNAcentral lists this ribosomal RNA (483 nucleotides) under uncultured bacterium. RNAcentral describes it as "partial 16S ribosomal RNA". It matches the Rfam family "Bacterial small subunit ribosomal RNA", at positions 38 to 507 of the family's 1533-position model. The record is from RNAcentral.